This 507-nucleotide ribosomal RNA is filed under the name uncultured eukaryote. Its description in RNAcentral is "SSU rRNA". It matches the Rfam family "Eukaryotic small subunit ribosomal RNA", at positions 589 to 1119 of the family's 1831-position model. The record is from RNAcentral.
CUCCAAUAGCGUAUAUUAAAGUUGUUGCAGUUAAAAGCUCGUAGUUGAAGUUCUGAUUGCUCAGGUUCCAGCCUUAGGCGGAGAUACUGACAGUCAUCCGCUUGACAAACAUAUGUUCGAUCUUCACCGGUUGGCUAUGUGAGUAAGCACUUUACCUUGAGAAAAACAGAGUGUUCCAGGCAGGUUUGUCCGGGGAUGCAUUAGCAUGGAAUAAUAGAACAUGACUGAAGUCGAUUUAUUGGUUUAAGGCUUUAGUAAUGAUUAAUAGGAACAGUCGGGGGCAUUCGUACUCAGCAGUCAGAGGUGAAAUUCUAAGAUUUGCUGAAGACGAACUAAUGCGAAAGCAUUUGCCAAGGAUGUUUUCAUUAAUCAAGAACGAAAGUUAGGGGAUCAAAGACGAUCAGAUACCGUCCUAGUCUUAACUAUAAACUAUGCCGACUCGGAUUCAGAUGAAUCAAAAUGUUCAUUUGGGACCGUAGGAGAAAUCAAAGUCUUUGGGUUCUGGGG